Molecule: ribosomal RNA, 922 nt
Filed under: uncultured bacterium
Lineage: Bacteria
Description: bacterial SSU rRNA
Rfam family: Bacterial small subunit ribosomal RNA
Source: RNAcentral
AGAGUUUGAUCCUGGCUCAGGACGAACGCUGGCGGCGUGCUUAACACAUGCAAGUCGAGCGAUGAAACUACUUCGGUAGUGAAUUAGCGGCGAACGGGUGAGGAACACGUGAGGAAUCUGCCUUCUACACUGGGAUAACUCCGGGAAACCGGGGCUAAUACCGGAUAUGAAACUUGGUGGCAUCACCGAGUUUGGAAAGUUUUUCGGUAGAAGAUGACCUCGCGGCCUAUCAGCUUGUUGGUGAGGUAAUGGCUCACCAAGGCGACGACGGGUAGCCGGCCUGAGAGGGCGACCGGCCACACUGGGACUGAGACACGGCCCAGACUCCUACGGGAGGCAGCAGUGGGGAAUAUUGGGCAAUGGAGGAAACUCUGACCCAGCGACGCCGCGUGCGGGAUGAAGGCCUUCGGGUUGUAAACCGCUUUCAGUAGGGAAGAAGCGAAAGUGACGGUACCUACAGAAGAAGCACCGGCUAACUAUGUGCCAGCAGCCGCGGUAAUACAUAGGGUGCAAGCGUUGUCCGGAAUUAUUGGGCGUAAAGAGCUCGUAGGUGGUUCGUUACGUCGGAUGUGAAAAUCUGGGGCUCAACCCCAGACCUGCAUCCGAUACGGUCGAGCUAGAGUUUGGUAGGGGAGACUGGAAUUCCUGGUGUAGCGGUGGAAUGCGCAGAUAUCAGGAGGAACACCAAUGGCGAAGGCAGGUCUCUGGGCCAAUACUGACACUGAGGAGCGAAAGCGUGGGGAGCGAACAGGAUUAGAUACCCUGGUAGUCCACGCCGUAAACGGUGGGCGCUAGUUGUGGGAACCUUCCACGGUUUCUGCGACGCAGCUAACGCAUUAAGCGCCCCGCCUGGGGAGUACGAUCGCAAGAUUAAAACUCAAAGGAAUUGACGGGGCCCCGCACAAGCAGCGGAGCAUGCGGC